GAUUUCUGGCUUGUAACAACUUAUCGGCCACGGUUUCGUGUGUUAGUGUAGGUUGUUCUUGCCAUCCUUCCAAUCGCUAUUGGCUUAUCUUCAUUGAUAGGUCAGUAGUAUUGGAUCUUUUACUUUGAAAAAAUUAGAGUGUUUCAAGCAGGCUUUAUGCUAUGAAUACAUUAGCAUGGAAUAAUAAUUUAGGACUUCGGUUCUAUUUUGUUGGUUUCUAGGACUGAAGUAAUGAUUGAUAGGGAUAGUUGGGGGUGCUAGUAUUCAGCGGCCAGAGGUGAAAUUCUCGGAUUCGCUGAAGACUAACUUAUGCGAAAGCAUU
Molecule: ribosomal RNA, 322 nt
Filed under: uncultured Sandonidae
Lineage: Eukaryota; Cercozoa; Glissomonadida; Viridiraptoridae
Description: SSU rRNA
Rfam family: Eukaryotic small subunit ribosomal RNA
Source: RNAcentral